Long non-coding RNA from Microcebus murinus (gray mouse lemur), 2898 nucleotides. RefSeq lists it as uncharacterized. The record is from RefSeq and is a predicted model, not a curated record. Lineage: Eukaryota; Metazoa; Chordata; Mammalia; Primates; Cheirogaleidae.
CUGAAGACAAACUUGUGAAUGGAACCUUAACUCACUGGAGAAACACCUGACGCCACCAAGAGGUUCCCAAGCAUCCCCAUCUGCUCCUGAGCCCCUAUGGGAAUGCGAAGGGACUCUAGGGCCCCUGGCAUUUCCUCUUCCUAAAAAGCCCUCCCCUCCCCUCCCCAGGAACUGCACUUCUCUAGGACACCUUCGCAGACUCCACCCAAGCCGGGUUAAUUCCCAGUGUCUGGGGAUUUCAAAGUGCCUACGUGGCAUGUGCCGUGGCGUGUAUGAUCUGCACUGUUAUUACCUAGUUAUGAAUCUAUCUUUCUCACUGGACUCCGAGCCACAGAGGGCAAAAGCUUGCUCUAAUGUCCCCGACCCACAGCCUAACACCUGACCCCACUCAAUCACUGCCAACGCUGUGCUUAUGGACUCCAAGCACGAACCUGUGAUAGGAGUGUCUGACAGACCUGGGACCGGAUGGGGUGUUGCCUCUACCACGUACAGACUACCUGAAGGAGACUGUUGCACGGAUAGAUGUCUGAGAUUGACACCCACUCAAAAAGACCAUAGAUUCUCUGUAUAUACGGGAGUGUGUCAUUUUAACUUCCUGAUACACACUGUAGGCAAGGGAAAAAAAGACCUUCCUUAUCUUUAAAGUGUACACUCAGAGAUCAUUAGUGCUGACAUUUAUUGUUGAUUUUGCAGUAUUUCAUAGAGGACAUCUUAUAUGAAUUGAACAAUCUUGAAGACAUGCUAGAAUGCUUCAAAUUCCCAGAUGACGCCAUAAGGUAGGGCUUAAUAUUAAACAUGCACACUGGAGGGUGCAAAGAAUUCAUUGACAUGAAGCUGGUUAUCUACAGUUUCACUUUCAUCACUUUAAAACCACAACCCAAGGGUGAUUACACUGAAACUACAUCACAGAUGAAGUGCUGGGUCUCUCAGCAACCUUGUGUUAUCACUGGGCAAAGGGAAAGGACUUUCAAUCACAGCUGACACAGAAGACAAAGGGGGACUCUGAGCAAGUCUGGCCAUUUCAUACACACGUUUCAUAAGUUACUGCUUAGAACUUGGAAGCUAUUCAGAUACAGAGAGACUUUACUCCAUGCUUAUCUGCAGAGAGGGAAUCAUCAGACCUAGGAGUGGUCUUGGGGACUCCUGACAGAGAGAAUUUUAAAGAAAUCAUGGGGUAUGGCCCAAUCCACGAGAAGCGCUGGGCUCAUGCAAAGAAGACACGCAAUAAUGGGACCUCUAAGGAAUGACAUCUCUCAGUAAGGUUUGCUUGGUUUUCAAAAUUAAGAAAUGUACUAGUCAAUGGGAGGAUGUGUUCUACUUCGCAAAUGAAUUCAUUUCAUUUUCAAAGAACAGAAUGGAUACUCAGGAAAAAGGCCCAUGUCUGAUCAUGAACCCAAGUAAUUCCCUACUUCUCGAUUUACAAACUUCUGUCAUAACAUCUCCUCAUUUGACCCUCGUUACAAUUCUAUGAGGUAGACAAUAUGAUUUUUAUCUUUUAUCUUCCAUGGCACUUAGUCCAUUACGAGAUAAGCAGUGAUGCUCAAUGAAGAUGUACUGGUUGGCUGAUUAGUAAUGGCUUCAGAGAAAUUACUCCUUUAUAAAAAUUAACGAUUCCUGACGUCUGUCAGUGGAAGAACAAGCUAAAAAGCAAUCCAGGCAUUCAGUAAAAUUAUUAAGAUCACAAAUUAAGUCAUUUCCAUGGACUCUAUAGCAGGAAAUAUAUUUUUAAUGAGGAAAUUGAAGUUAAUACAUAACAGCUGUCCUGUUACCCAGUAACAGAAUAUUAAGGCAGAUUAAAUUAUUAAUGAAAAAUAUAGAAAAUUGGAAAUUUAACCUCCUAACAUUUUCUCACUCCUCUCUCUUUUAUACAUAACUGUUAAGCUGAUAUUCUAAAAAACACACUUGGUCGCCUUAGACAGUUUACACUGACAAACUAUUCACUAGCUGCGGAAUCUUCAGCACGUUGCUUGACCUCUCUCUGCAGCUGUAAAAUGGGAAGAAUCGCAAACUCAUGAGGUUAAGGAGAGGAUUAAAUGAGGUGAGAUAAGUGCUGAGCACAAAGCCUGGCUUGUUGUGAGCUUUUAAUAACGGUAGAAAUUAAUAAAAUGCAUGGAGAUAGAAUCAAUAAAUAUUUACUGAACUAAUAUCCAAAGUGCCCAUAUACAUCAGUACAGCUGUACGACUUCUAGACCAGUUAGCGACCAAAUGCUGCCUAGAAGCCUCAGAGUGCCGUCUAUCACCCCAUCGGUCCCAGCUCCUUCCCUAAAAGGAGAAGACCCUUUACAACUUCACGAUCAGACUUCUUUAUGACACAACACCUUAAGUGUCUAUGCCUGGAAUAGCAGGUGGAACCCCCAGGAAACUCACUAGACGCCCCUACCGCCUUGGCACCACCACUGAUUGCCCUAAAUCAGUAAAACUGCACCUGCCCCGGAGUAAACAUUGCAUUUGAGUGAAGAAUAAAUAAUGUUGAUGUAAGUCACUGGGAAUUUGGGGGUUGUUUGUUAUGCAGCACUAGCUAAUUAAUACUACCUCUAAGUGAUGUUCAAUAAGUGAUUCAAGAAGCUACGCAUAAGUCACUAAAGGAACAACCUUAUAAAAAAGAAAAGUAUAUGGCAAGAAUAGAUAGAAGAGAGAAGGAAGGAAGAUAAAAAGGUAGGUUAACAUGGCUUAGAAAACCACACCCUUGCUCAUCUCUGUGACAAUUUGCAGAAUCUUCAACAAGUUAUUUAACCUCUUUUUGCAACUGUAAAAUAGAGAGAAUAGCAAACUCAUUAGGUGAAGCAGAGGGUCAAAUGAGGUGAGUAAGAAAAGUGGUACGCUGGGACGUGCUCAGCACCGACAGACAGAAGACAGGAGCGGCAGCUGUCGCCAGGCCCAGCGCUGGGUGGCGCGCGU